CCUACGGGAGGCUGCAGUGGGGAAUAUUGGGCAAUGGGCGCAAGCCUGACCCAGCAACGCCGCGUGAAGGAAGAAGGCUUUCGGGUUGUAAACUUCUUUUAAGAGGGAAGAGCAGAAGACGGUACCUCUUGAAUAAGCCACGGCUAACUACGUGCCAGCAGCCGCGGUAAUACGUAGGUGGCAAGCGUUGUCCGGAUUUACUGGGUGUAAAGGGCGUGCAGCCGGGAAGACAAGUCAGAUGUGAAACCCCGCGGCUCAACCGCGGAACUGCAUUUGAAACUGUUUUUCUUGAGUACAAGAGAGGUAAGCGGAAUGCGUGGUGUAGCGGUGAAAUGCGUAGAUAUAAGGAAGAACACCAGUGGCGAAGGCGGAUGGCUGGACGGCGACUGACGGUGAGGCGCGAAAGCGUGGGGAGCGAACAGGAUUAGAUACCCUGGUAGUC
Molecule: ribosomal RNA, 442 nt
Filed under: uncultured bacterium
Lineage: Bacteria
Description: partial 16S ribosomal RNA
Rfam family: Bacterial small subunit ribosomal RNA
Source: RNAcentral